CACCAGCGAUCGUUGAGGUCAAAUUUUUCUCUUUUUCCCUUGGAAGCCGCAGCACCCUCUUCUUGUGUUCGUCGGAAAUCGAAGGUCGAGGAGGCCACUGGAGUUCAGGUAAGGGUUCAAUCUUCCUUCCUCUCCCUCUUUUCUUUCUCUCCAUGAUUUUAGACCCCUCGCCGGCCAUCGGGAUCACCAGAAAAUCCAUGAAGUGUGAAACCCCUAUUUGACCGGCCACGUUUCUCUCUUUUCCGGCCACCGA
This 253-nucleotide long non-coding RNA is filed under the name Elaeis guineensis (African oil palm). Its description in RNAcentral is "long non-coding RNA (EGUI_LNC038061)". The record is from RNAcentral. Lineage: Eukaryota; Viridiplantae; Streptophyta; Magnoliopsida; Arecales; Arecaceae.